Molecule: long non-coding RNA, 584 nt
Filed under: Parus major (Great Tit)
Lineage: Eukaryota; Metazoa; Chordata; Aves; Passeriformes; Paridae
Description: lncRNA (ENSPMJG00000007418.1)
Source: RNAcentral
UUUGUUUAAUUAUUCCCUCCCAGAGAAGAUUUUUCCUCUUGCCCUUAGUUCCAAGGGCUUUCUGUCUGAUUUAUCUUCUAUUUUCAGGACUCAAUGAAGCAGAAAAACAAUGUUAGUCUUUGGUGGCCAGGGAAAAGGAGGAAAGCUCGUGGUGGUCUCCAGAUGAUCUGGCCCUGACUGAAGCAAAUCUCCUUCCACAAGGAGGGAGCAAAGGCCUGGCAAGUGCAGUUUCACAGGCAUGAUGGAACAACCCAAAAUCAUACUGAUCUGUAAACCUGUGUAGCUGGAGCAGCAGUGUGGUGGUUUGCUUGUCUGUUGUUCACUUUCCUUCUACCAGACUUGCCACAGAAUUUAUUGGGCAACAUUUAAAGGCAAAUUAUGUUUUCUUUCCAAGUGUUGCAAGGGAAUGUCAUAGAGAGAAUUUGGUUCCUAAGCAGCCCUGUUAUCAGUAAGCUAAGAAAAUACAUUAGGAACUUGGAGAUAUUAAAUGCAUCAGGAAGAAGAAAAAAAAAUGGAUUAUGAUAUUUAAACCAGAAUUUUAAUUCCUGGUUUUGAUAUUGCCAGGUAAGGUUGUAGUAUUUAAA